CGAGUAUCUACAGUUAGUGAAUUUGUUCAAACGACCACCAAACGCAGAACAUCGUCAGUCUCUAAUUCCACUUUCCAUCUCACUCAGCUGCAAUUUCACCACAGUAAAAGUGAUGUCAGUGCAAUGUACCAGGAAGAAUGGUUUGACACACUCAGUUUACUGGAGUCUGACUCCGAUGAUGACUGUAGUAGCCUUCAUGGAGAAUUCAGCAACUAUUAUUAGGCUCUCCAUACAAAAAGGAAGAAACAAAUGAAUUUUGUGAGUAACCUUUUAUGCAAGCAAUCAUCCCAUCUCUUAUUUUUGACAUAAGUUCAAACAGGUGCAUCAGCAACAAAAUAUCUUUAUCGCCCUAGAGC
This is a long non-coding RNA of Salvia splendens (bonfire salvia), 356 nucleotides long. RefSeq lists it as uncharacterized. The record is from RefSeq and is a predicted model, not a curated record. NCBI's taxonomy places the organism in Eukaryota, Viridiplantae, Streptophyta, Magnoliopsida, Lamiales, Lamiaceae. The transcript has 3 exons.